AUACGUAGGGUGCUAGCGUUAUCCGGAUUUACUGGGCGUAAAGGGUGCGUAGGUGGUCUUUCAAGUCGGUGGUUAAAGGCUACGGCUCAACCGUAUUAAGCCGCCGAAACUGGAAGACUUGAGUGCAGGAGAGGAAAGUGGAAUUCUCAGUGUAGCGGUGAAAUGCGUAGAUAUUGAGAAGAACACCAGUAGCGAUGGCGGCUUUCUGGACUGUAACUGACACUGAGGCACGAAAGCGUGGGUAGCAAACAGGAUUAGAUACCCUGGUAGUCCACGCCGUAAACGAUGAGUAUUAGGUGUCGGGGGUUACCCCCCUCGGUGCCGCAGUUAACGCAUUAAAUACUCCGCCUGGGGAGUACGCACGCAAGUGUGAAACUCAAAUGAAUUGACGG
This 392-nucleotide ribosomal RNA is filed under the name uncultured bacterium. Its description in RNAcentral is "partial 16S ribosomal RNA". It matches the Rfam family "Bacterial small subunit ribosomal RNA", at positions 523 to 916 of the family's 1533-position model. The record is from RNAcentral.